RNAcentral lists this ribosomal RNA (497 nucleotides) under uncultured bacterium. RNAcentral's name for it is "partial 16S ribosomal RNA". It matches the Rfam family "Bacterial small subunit ribosomal RNA", at positions 28 to 523 of the family's 1533-position model. The record is from RNAcentral.
GAUGAACGCUGGCGGCGUGCUUAACACAUGCAAGUCGAACGAAGCACUUUUAUUUGAUUUCUUCGGAAUGAAGAUUUUAGUGACUGAGUGGCGGACGGGUGAGUAACGCGUGGGUAACCUGCCUCAUACAGGGGGAUAACAGUUAGAAAUGACUGCUAAUACCGCAUAAGACCACAGCACCGCAUGGUGCAGGGGUAAAAACUCCGGUGGUAUGAGAUGGACCCGCGUCUGAUUAGGUAGUUGGUGGGGUAACGGCCUACCAAGCCGACGAUCAGUAGCCGACCUGAGAGGGUGAUCGGCCACAUUGGGACUGAGACACGGCCCAAACUCCUACGGGAGGCAGCAGUGGGGAAUAUUGCACAAUGGGGGAAACCCUGAUGCAGCGACGCCGCGUGAGCGAUGAAGUAUUUCGGUAUGUAAAGCUCUAUCAGCAGGGAAGAAAAUGACGGUACCUGACUAAGAAGCACCGGCUAAAUACGUGCCAGCCGCCGCGGUAA